Molecule: ribosomal RNA, 407 nt
Filed under: uncultured bacterium
Lineage: Bacteria
Description: bacterial SSU rRNA
Rfam family: Bacterial small subunit ribosomal RNA
Source: RNAcentral
GGGGAAUAUUGGACAAUGGGCGGAAGCCUGAUCCAGCAACGCCGCGUGAGGGAUGACGGCCUUCGGGUUGUAAACCUCUUUCAUCACAGACGAAGCCUUUGGGUGACGGUAUGUGGAGAAGAAGCACCGGCCAACUACGUGCCAGCAGCCGCGGUAAUACGUAGGGUGCGAGCGUUGUCCGGAAUUAUUGGGCGUAAAGGGCUCGUAGGCGGUUUGUCGCGUCGGGAGUGAAAUCCAUGGGCUUAACUUAUGGCUUGCUUUCGAUACGGGCAGACUAGAGGUAUGCAGGGGAGAACGGAAUUCCUGGUGUAGCGGUGAAAUGCGCAGAUAUCAGGAGGAACACCGGUGGCGAAGGCGGUUCUCUGGGCAUGUCCUGACGCUGAGGAGCGAAAGUGUGGGGAGCGAAC